This 380-nucleotide unclassified non-coding RNA is filed under the name uncultured bacterium. RNAcentral's name for it is "contains 16S-23S intergenic spacer region". The record is from RNAcentral.
UCCGGCUUGGCGCCGGCAGUCUCCCUAGAGUCCCCACCAUUACGUGCUGGCAACUAAGGACGGGGGUUGCGCUCGUUGCGGGACUUAACCCAACACCUCACGACACGAGCUGACGACAGCCAUGCAGCACCUGUGCACGUGUCCCGAAGGAGGGCCUGGCUUUCACCAGGCUUGCACGUGCAUGUCAAGUCCAGGUAAGGUUCUUCGCGUUGCGUCGAAUUAAGCCACAUGCUCCGCCGCUUGUGCAGGCCCCCGUCAAUUUCUUUGAGUUUUAACCUUGCGGCCGUACUCCCCAGGCGGGGUGCUUAAUGCGUUAGCUUCGGCACGGAGGGAGUCGACACCCCCCACACCUAGCACCCAUCGUUUACGGCGUGGACUAC